This 497-nucleotide ribosomal RNA is filed under the name uncultured bacterium. RNAcentral's name for it is "partial 16S ribosomal RNA". It matches the Rfam family "Bacterial small subunit ribosomal RNA", at positions 28 to 507 of the family's 1533-position model. The record is from RNAcentral.
GAUGAACGCUGGCGGCGUGCCUAAUACAUGCAAGUCGAGCGAACGGACGAGAAGCUUGCUUCUCUGAUGUUAGCGGCGGACGGGUGAGUAACACGUGGAUAACCUACCUAUAAGACUGGGAUAACUUCGGGAAACCGGCGCUAAUACCGGAUAAUAUUUUGAACCGCAUGGUUCAAAAGUGAAAGACGGUCUUGCUGUCACUUAUAGAUGGAUCCGCGCUGCAUUAUCUAGUUGGUAAGGUAACGGCUUACCAAGGCAACGAUGCAUAGCCGACCGGAGAGGGUGAUCGGCCACACUGGAACUGAGACACGGUCCAGACUCCUACGGGAGGCAGCAGUAGGGAAUCUUCCGCAAAGGGCGCAAGCCUGACGGAGCAACGCCGCGUGCGUGAUGAAGGUCUUCGGAUCGUAAAACUCUGUUAUUAGGGAAGAACAUAUGUGUAAUUAACUGUGCCCAUCUUGACGGUACCUAAUCAGAAAGCCACGGCUAACUACGUG